This 406-nucleotide ribosomal RNA is filed under the name uncultured bacterium. RNAcentral's name for it is "partial 16S ribosomal RNA". It matches the Rfam family "Bacterial small subunit ribosomal RNA", at positions 30 to 526 of the family's 1533-position model. The record is from RNAcentral.
AUUGAACGCUGGCGGCAGGCCUAACACAUGCAAGUCGAGCGAGCGGCGGACGGGUGAGUAAUGUCUGGGAAACUGCCUGAUGGAGGGGGAUAACUACUGGAAACGGUAGCUAAUACCGCAUACCAUCAGAUGUGCCCAGAUGGGAUUAGCUAGUAGGUGGGGUAACGGGUCACCUAGGCGACGGUCCCUAGCUUGUCUGAGAGGAUGACCAGCCAAACUGGAACUGAGACACGGUAAAUACUCCUACGGGAGGCAGCAGUGGGGAAUAUUGCACAAUGGGCGCAAGCCUGAUGCAGCCAUGCCGCGUGUAUGAAGAAGGCCGUCGGGUUGUAAAGUACUUUCAGCGGGGAGGCGUUACCCGCAGAAGAAGCACCGGCUAACUCCGUGCCAGCCGCCGCGGUAAUUC